CCUACGGGAGGCUGCAGUGAGGAAUAUUGGUCAAUGGACGAGAGUCUGAACCAGCCAAGUAGCGUGAAGGAUGACUGCCCUAUGGGUUGUAAACUUCUUUUAUAUGGGAAUAAAGUGUUCCACGUGUGGGAUUUUGUAUGUACCAUAUGAAUAAGGAUCGGCUAACUCCGUGCCAGCAGCCGCGGUAAUACGGAGGAUCCGAGCGUUAUCCGGAUUUAUUGGGUUUAAAGGGAGCGUAGGUGGGUUGUUAAGUCAGUUGUGAAAGUUUGCGGCUCAACCGUAAAAUUGCAGUUGAUACUGGCAGUCUUGAGUACAGUAGAGGUGGGCGGAAUUCGUGGUGUAGCGGUGAAAUGCUUAGAUAUCACGAAGAACUCCGAUUGCGAAGGCAGUUCACUGAACUGCAACUGACACUGAGGCUCGAAAGUGUGGGUAUCAAACAGGAUUAGAUACCCUGGUAGUC
Molecule: ribosomal RNA, 460 nt
Filed under: uncultured bacterium
Lineage: Bacteria
Description: partial 16S ribosomal RNA
Rfam family: Bacterial small subunit ribosomal RNA
Source: RNAcentral